AAAAACAUGGCCUUUUGAUUAAAAUUUAAGGUCUAACCUGCUCAAUGAGUUUUAAAUAGCCGCAGUAUCUUAACUGUGCAAAGGUAGCAUAAUCAUUAGUUUCUUAAUUAGAAGCUGGAAUGAAGGGUUGAAUGAGAAAAUAGCUGUCUCUAUAAAAAUUUUAUAGAAUUUUAUUUUUAAGUUAAAAAGCUUAAAUAUUAAUAGAAGACGAGAAGACCCUAUAGAGUUUUAUAUUUAUAUAUAAUAAUUUCUUUAAGUAUUUUAAAAUUUAUUAUUUUAUAAUAUUUGGUUGGGGUGAUUGGAAAAUUCAAUAAACUUUUCUUAAUAAAAACAUUUAUUUAUGAAAAAAUGAUCCUUUUUAAAGAUUAUAAGAUAAAAUUACCUUAGGGAUAACAGCGUAAUUUUUUUUGAGAGUUCUUAUCGAAAAAAGAGAUUGCGACCUCGAUGUUGGAUUAAAAUGAAUUUUUGGUGUAGAAGCUAAAUUAAUUAGGUCUGUUCGACCUUUAAAAUUUUACUUGAUCUGAGUU
This 527-nucleotide ribosomal RNA is filed under the name Mogulones austriacus. Its description in RNAcentral is "partial 16S ribosomal RNA". It matches the Rfam family "Bacterial large subunit ribosomal RNA", at positions 1809 to 2611 of the family's 2925-position model. Lineage: Eukaryota; Metazoa; Arthropoda; Insecta; Coleoptera; Curculionidae. The record is from RNAcentral.